UACGAAGGGGGCUAGCGUUGCUCGGAAUCACUGGGCGUAAAGGGCGCGUAGGCGGCGUUUUAAGUCGGGGGUGAAAGCCUGUGGCUCAACCACAGAAUGGCCUCGAUACUGGGACGCUUGAGUAUGGUAGAGGUUGGUGGAACUGCGAGUGUAGAGGUGAAAUUCGUAGAUAUUGGGAAGAACACCGGUGGCGAAGGCGGCUCUCUGGACCGAUACUGACGCUGAGGCGCGAAAGCGUGGGGAGCAAACAGG
This 252-nucleotide ribosomal RNA is filed under the name uncultured bacterium. Its description in RNAcentral is "partial 16S ribosomal RNA". It matches the Rfam family "Bacterial small subunit ribosomal RNA", at positions 524 to 776 of the family's 1533-position model. The record is from RNAcentral.